CCUGUUUUAUCAAAAACAUGGUUUCUUGUAAUUGUUUAGGAGAUCUGACCUGCCCACUGAAAGUAUUUUGAAGGGCCGCAGUAUUUUGACUGUGCAAAGGUAGCAUAAUCAUUAGUCUUUUAAUUGAAGGCUGGUAUGAAUGGUUGGAUGAGGUAAAUUCUGUUUUAUGUUAAUUGAUGUUGAAUUUAGAUUUUAAGUAAAAAUACUUAAAUGUUAUUAAGGGACGAGAAGACCCUAUAGAGUUUAAUAAAUAUAAUAAUUAAUUGAGUUAAAGUUUAAUUUUUGGUUUUUAUGUAAUUUAUUUAAUUGGGGUGAUUGGAAGAUAAAAUAAACUCUUCUUUAUAUUUAAUAAAUUAAUUAGUUGUAUGAUCCAUAUUUAAUGAUUAAAAGAUUAAAUUACCUUAGGGAUAACAGCAUAAUUCUUUUUAAGAGUUCAUAUCGAAAAAAGAGAUUGUGACCUCGAUGUUGGAUUAAGAUUAGUUAUGGGUGCAGAUGUUCAAUAACUAGGUCUGUUCGACCUUGAAAAUCUUACAUGAUCUGAGUUCAA
Molecule: ribosomal RNA, 547 nt
Filed under: Tenodera sp. nov. MN519
Lineage: Eukaryota; Metazoa; Arthropoda; Insecta; Mantodea; Mantidae
Description: partial 16S ribosomal RNA
Rfam family: Bacterial large subunit ribosomal RNA
Source: RNAcentral